AGUGAACGCUGGCGGUAGGCCUAACACAUGCAAGUCGAACGGCAGCACAGUAAGAGCUUGCUCUUACGGGUGGAGAGUGGCGGACGGGGGAGGAAGACAUGGGAAUAUACUUUUUCGUGGGGGAUAACGUAGGGAAACUUACGCUGAUAACGCAUACGACCUACGGGUGAAAGCAGGGGAUGUUUUGACCUUGCGCGAGGGAAUGAGCCGAUGUCGGAUUAGCUAGUUGGCGGGGUAAAGGCCCACCAAGGCGACGAUCCGUAGCUCGUACGAGAGGAUGGUCCGCCACACUGUAAGUGAGACAGGUUCCAGACACCUACGGGAAGCCGCAGUGGGGACUCUUGGGCAAUGGGGGCGUGCCUGAUCCUGCCAUAUCGCGUGAGUGAUGAUGCACUUCUGGUUGUUAAGCCAUUAUGUUGGGAGAGUUAAGCAGCACUUUAAUACCCCGCUGUUAUGACGGUACCGAAAGAAUAAGCACCGGCUAACUUCGUG
This 492-nucleotide ribosomal RNA is filed under the name uncultured bacterium. Its description in RNAcentral is "partial 16S ribosomal RNA". It matches the Rfam family "Bacterial small subunit ribosomal RNA", at positions 29 to 507 of the family's 1533-position model. The record is from RNAcentral.